This 232-nucleotide unclassified non-coding RNA is filed under the name soil metagenome. Its description in RNAcentral is "partial internal transcribed spacer 1". The record is from RNAcentral.
UUGAAUUUUAAUGAAGAGUUUGGUUGUAGCUGGCCCAUUCAUUUGGGCAUGUGCACACCUUCCUCUUUCAUCCCACACACACCUGUGAACCUGUGAGACAGAGAUGGGGAGUUUACUUGCUGCUUUUUGGAAUACAAAGGCAAUAGGUUAUUGGACCCCCCCUCUGUCUACUCAAUUAAUAUAAACUCAAUUUAUUUUAAAACGAAUGUAAUGGAUGUAACACAUCUCAUAC